GGCUUUCCUGCCCUAGAGUAGAUCCCUCAGUGACCAUCUUGGCAGUUCUGUGUGGCAGCCUCCCUGGCCUUCAUCUGCUCAUGUAUCUUCCCUCCACCUCUUGCAUUUUUCCAUAGCUGUCAAGUCUGAGGCCCUAUAGGAAACAUCUGGCACACCUCUGCUCCUGGUACGAUCUUAGCCUGUGCCGGGGGGUUUGGCGAGCAGCACCAGACCAUGCAGUACAGUGGUGAGUGCUAGGAUAACCAGUGAACUGCUUCCAGAAGGACAUGGACAGGGUAGAGCCUCCAGCUCAGGCGUUCUCUGUCUACAUCUCCUCCUCAGUGGGUUUGGAAGGUAGUUCUGUGCUAAAGAAACGGUAAUGCUAGUCUUUAAGGUGCUGAGGUGGCAGGAACUCGUGUCACAUUGUGUUUUCAACUAGGGCAGAAGCUUCUUUUUAUACCCAUGACAAUGAUGGAUUAUUGGCUUUGUCUAGAACAUGGUAGAAUGGGGCUCUUCAAGUAUCCCUCAGAUGACACCAGCCUUGGGUCUGAGUCCUGAGCUGUCCUUGUUGCUAGUCCCAGCUUGGAGCUUUGUCACAGUUCUUCAGCAUUGUUUCUUCAUCCCACGUUUGCUUUCCCAGUGGCCCUCCACAGUGCCACCAUUCCAUCAGUGGGCAAAUGCAUCGGUUUUGAUCCUCUAUUUCCACUUAAGUCUUUGGCUUCCAUUUGUAGGGUCUGUGCUGUUUUUACUGUUUACUAUGCUCAGUUUGAGCAGUGGAUACAUUGAAAGAAAAGACCAAGGACUCUAGUAUUGGCUUUUAUUAAUUUUUAUGUUGUUUAUUAUUAAUAUAAUAAUAUAGUAUAAAUAUAUUUAUUUUAUAUUACAUGUUACUUUAUUACUUUUCUGUUAUUAUUAAUUUUAUGUACGUCUGAAUUCCUGGUAACUGUAGAGGCCAGAAGUGUGUGUUAGAUCUCCUGGGACUGGAAUUACAGCUGGUUAUGGGUCACCACAUGGGCGCUGGGAAUUGUACCUGGGUCCUCUGGAAGAAGCCAUUGCUCCAGCCCCAGCAUGGCUUUAUACUGAGAGACACUUUGAAGGCACACACCUGCCAUGUUUUCACACCCUACCCCAAGACCAUGACCGUGACCACACAUGUGUUAGACAGCAUUCACCUCUGAGCUACAUUCCCAGGCUGGACUUCUCAAUGUCCGGAGUGACCUUGAGGAUGAGAAAAGAAAAAGAAAAAAAGCAGCAGCUCUUGUCACCUGCCUGUGAAAGGACUUCUUGUUAACUGCUUCAUGCCCUUCUUCUAAAGGCACUGUUAAUGUUUAUUACCCAGUUUUUAAAAAAGUC
RNAcentral lists this long non-coding RNA (1332 nucleotides) under Rattus norvegicus (Norway rat). RNAcentral describes it as "long non-coding RNA NONRATT001748". Lineage: Eukaryota; Metazoa; Chordata; Mammalia; Rodentia; Muridae. The record is from RNAcentral.